Hibiscus syriacus is the source of this 351-nucleotide long non-coding RNA. RefSeq lists it as uncharacterized. Lineage: Eukaryota; Viridiplantae; Streptophyta; Magnoliopsida; Malvales; Malvaceae. The transcript is spliced from 4 exons. The record is from RefSeq and is a predicted model, not a curated record.
UGGUAACCAUGCUGCAGCAUUGGCAUUGGCUGCAAAGUUAUGCGGGAUCGCUUCGUAUGUAGUUUACCGAAAAAUGCUCAGCAAUGCAAAGUUCAGAAUGUUGUGCAGUAUGGUGGUCGGGUUAUAUAGAGUGAGUCGACCUUGCAGUUAAGGGAGGAAACUGCAGCCACGGUGUUGCAGGAAACUGGGGCUGCUCUUAUCCAUCCAUAUAAUGAUGGGCGCAUUACAAGUGGGCAAGGUACAAUAUCCUUGGAGCUAUUACAGCAAUCCCCUCAGAUAGACACUAUAAUUGUUCCCAUAAGUGGAGGUGGCUUGACAUCAGGGGUGGCAUUGGCUGCCAAAAAUCCAUCA